UACGGGGGGGGCAAGCGUUGUUCGGAAUACUGGGCGUAAAGGGUCUGUAGGUGGCCAACUAAGUCAGACGUGAAAUCCCUCAGCUUAACUGGGGAACUGCGUCUGAUACUGGAUGGCUUGAGUGUGGGAGAGGAAUGCGGAAUUCCAGGUGUAGCGGUGAAAUGCGUAGAUAUCUGGAGGAACACCGGUGGCGAAGGCGGCAUUCUGGACCAUAACUGACACUGAGAGACGAAAGCCAGGGGAGCAAACGGG
Molecule: ribosomal RNA, 252 nt
Filed under: uncultured bacterium
Lineage: Bacteria
Description: partial 16S ribosomal RNA
Rfam family: Bacterial small subunit ribosomal RNA
Source: RNAcentral